Carassius carassius (crucian carp) is the source of this 280-nucleotide long non-coding RNA. RefSeq lists it as uncharacterized. NCBI's taxonomy places the organism in Eukaryota, Metazoa, Chordata, Actinopteri, Cypriniformes, Cyprinidae. The record is from RefSeq and is a predicted model, not a curated record. The transcript has 2 exons.
GGAACCUGGGGGUAGGACAGACGAGGCAAGAGAAAAGGAGAUGGAAGGAUUAGAAGCGACAGAGACGAGAGAGGGGAGAGAGGAGAAAGAAAAAAAAAUUGUUCUGAUGGCAUGACACUCCUCCGUUCUUGGGCAGCCGGCAGGAGUCCCCCGUUCCCUGCUCCUCCGCAUCAUGGCGGACGGCAGCAGGCUCCGGCCUCCAGGUGAACGGCGGUGACUCCUCCGCUCCCUCACGGACGGCAGCUGCCCCUCCACAUCACGGGCGGCUGGCAGUGAGCUC